This 3017-nucleotide long non-coding RNA is filed under the name Nicotiana tabacum (common tobacco). Its description in RNAcentral is "long non-coding RNA (NTAB_LNC007513)". The record is from RNAcentral. Lineage: Eukaryota; Viridiplantae; Streptophyta; Magnoliopsida; Solanales; Solanaceae.
GAAUAAGGAAGUCAUACUUACCUUUAUUUAAACUAGGAAAGAUAGUACAUUCAAUAUCUUGGUUCAUUUUAUAUCACAACAUUUAAAACGUGGUUAAACUUCCAAGGUUCCAUAUGAGUUAUAGUGUGGAAGAAAGCAAGAGUACAAGGUUACAACAUGUCCCAUUGACGUAUCCAGUACCCAUACAUAACCCACGCAAACAUCUACGAAGUCUCUAAGGAUACAAAAGACAGUGAUAAUAAUGCCGGCAACAAGGCCCCGGCUAUACCUCAACAAUGAAAAUCCAAAAUAAAAGAUGUGCAAUAUAGCCCCUUGGAGGAGAAGGGGGCUCACCAAGAUCUUGAGAAGAAGGAUGCUCCGCUACACACGAUUGGCACUAUCCGCUAUAGAGCCACCUACAUUCAUUAAUAAAAAUAUAGCGCCCCCGGCAAAAAGGACGUUAGUACCAUGAAAUAGUACUAGUAUGUAUAACUAAAGACCAUUUUACUAGAAAGAACUAUCAAACAAGUACAAGUAAAUCACAUGAGUAAAUCAAAUAUGCAAAUCACAUAAUCUUUCAUAUAAUUUCCAAAACUUAGUUUGGGCAUUUCUUCCAUAUGUUCAUCACUAUUCUCAAUGCCACCGCUAUCUUGAGCGGAGUCCGAUCCUGACCCGACCGGCUAGGUCACCUCAUUGGAGGCAUAUAUCUCAAUCAAUAUUUCAUUUCCCUUAUCCGGAAUUCAAUAUCAGCACAUUACCACCAUGUGUGCGGCAUGGUGUCCGAUCACGACCCGAUAUGUUAGGUCGCCUUAUCUAGGCAUUGUCCCUUUCUCAUUAGUCAUCACAUCAGAAUCUUUAUUUCACACAUAUCAUAUCAAUCUAUGGGCACCCAGGGCCACCAUUAUCACAUUAUUUUCCAUUUUCAAUAUUCGUCUUACAAGUUGUAAUCAUAGACAUAUACAAAAAUAAUUCAAGUUGCAAUCACAGGUAAGUGAGCACAUAGCUAGCAUGAAUAAUUCUCCGUUUCGAUCUUGUCUUAUAGCCUAAGCAUUUCAACGCAUAAUUGUAUUCUUCAUACUUCUCAAAUUAUCAAGAAUAGUACAUUACUCACAUUGAGGCACAACCUUCACGUAUAUGAGUAGAUAAUUGCAAAUCAAUUAAUGCGUAAUAACAAUCAAUACACUAACCAAUUCAACUCUUACCACACUUUCGUAAAUGCCAACGUAGCUCAAUUACUAAUAUAAGGGGGUUUUAGCCAUACAUACCUCAAUAAAGCUUUCCUUACUCUUUACAAAAUUUUCGGAACUCUUAGCACUUCGAUCAAUUGUGUAAGAAUUACAAAUUAAAUCGAGAAUUAGAGGCAAGAUUGAGAUUCUAGCUUGUUUCAAUCAUAUUAUCAAGCACUAGAGGUGCAAUAUGAUCUUAGGCCCCUUUUGAGAGAAAUUUAUAUCGUCACACCUCCUUUUUUACCUACACCUCGGGAAGAGGGAUGUAUAUAAGGGAGUUUUUACAAUUAAAGGACAAUCAAAAUGAGAUUUAUUUAUUUAAAAAUUCAGAGUCUCCACUUGGGAGAUUUAUAGUGUCCCAAGUCACCGGUUCAAAUCCCGAAUUGAGGAAAAGAUUGACUCUGUUUUACAGUCUGCGAACCAGAAUUCCGGGUAAGGAAUUCUAUUAACCCGGGAGAAGGUGUUAGGCAUUCCCGAGAUCCGUGGUUCUAGCAUGGUCUCUCAACUAUUACAAUUGACCUAUUAUCUGAUUUUUUACAUGUUUUAAACCUAUUGUGCAUUUUUAACUUUUUAGCCGCUUUUACUAUUUCAGGAAAAUUCAAGGUUAUUUAAAACACGUCGUAAGUCACGCUACAUGAAAUGCACCCGCAGUUCAUGACACGUUCUAUUUAACCUUGUUGGAAAUUAGAAUUGGGUCAUAUAAAAUGCACACCCGAAUUUACCAUGUUUAUUUUAUUACUAUUCCAAGUUGUGGUCGCGCCACAUGAAAUGCACACCCGGAUGUGAUUUACGUAUCGUGACCAUGUCACGGGAACCGUACCCAUAGCCACGAUGAUUUAUUAAUCUCAUAUUAAUAAUCAUAAAGUAGACAAUGACUAAUUUUCUUAAUUGUAUACAACAAUUCAGUACUAUACCCACGAUUCCUCAUUUCUGGCAUAAGAGACAAAAGGUAAUCUUUUUAUUCCCUAAUUCUAUAUACUAGUUAGAGCUUGGUUGAAAUUUAGAAUUAACAAUGAACAAGAGAUUCCUACAGCAAGCAAAAACAUUGACGCGAAGAGUAUGCAAAGCAUUCUGCACUAUACACAAAUGGUUCAAUAUUGCAAGAAGCAAACACUUUAGCAACGAAAUCAACGCAGUUGCAAAGGAAUACAUUUGAGACUAAUCAAUGCUAUAGCAGAUAUCAUAAAAUCGUGAAACACAAGCUCAUCCUAGAAUACCAGUGCAACAGUUACAACCACCUAAAAUCAAAUCAAACUGAUAAUUAAAGUGUGAAAAAAACAAAUAGAUCAAUGAAUGUAGAAAUUCUUACGAGUGCGCAUAUGCCGAAACGGAUCCGGAACACUGGAAUAGGACUCCUCGCUGGAAAAACAGGAACUUCGACGGAAAGCCAAUCGAAUUCUGUCGGAAUUUGAACGACACAAUAAUGAAACGAACUAGGUGACUAGAACCUCGGUCGAACCUAAAUCACAACUACUACCCCUUUCUCAUUUCUAUGCGUGUGCGUGUAUGGCUGCUUGUUCGUUUUCCGGCGAACUCGUCGGGCAUCGUCGAGGUGGUCGCUGGUUAAGGGUGUGGUGGCGACGGAAUUUCUAGGGUUCAGCUCCUAGGUUCAGUGGGUGGUCGUUGAAGAAGGGACGAAGAAAGGGUCGAUGGGGUCAUAGAAAGUCAGUGAUGGCUUCGAGACGAGAUGAAGAAACAAGCCACUGGAAAUAUAUUUGGUCUCUUUGUUCGCUCCUUAGGUCCUUUUAAUGAAGAAUAUGACUAAAGCCAUUUUUGUUUUCUCUCCAGUCAAAAAACGGCGGAUCGUAUCCC